RNAcentral lists this non-coding RNA (69 nucleotides) under Dysgonomonas mossii. Its description in RNAcentral is "Fluoride sequence". It matches the Rfam family "Fluoride riboswitch aptamer (crcB RNA motif)". The record is from RNAcentral. Lineage: Bacteria; Pseudomonadati; Bacteroidota; Bacteroidia; Bacteroidales; Dysgonomonadaceae. RNAcentral also lists the same sequence under 1 other name.
CGAAAUUAAGGGAAUGGGACUUCCCUGUUAUAAACCGCUAAUAAAGUAGCUGAUAGUUCCUGCUUAACU